RNAcentral lists this ribosomal RNA (417 nucleotides) under uncultured bacterium. RNAcentral's name for it is "bacterial SSU rRNA". It matches the Rfam family "Bacterial small subunit ribosomal RNA", at positions 358 to 772 of the family's 1533-position model. The record is from RNAcentral.
GGAAUAUUGGUCAAUGGACGCAAGUCUGAACCAGCCAUGCCGCGUGGAGGAUGAAGGUCCUCUGGAUUGUAAACUUCUUUUAUUUGGGAAGAAAUCUAUCUUUUCUUGGAUAGUUGACGGUACCAGAUGAAUAAGCACCGGCUAACUCCGUGCCAGCAGCCGCGGUAAUACGGAGGGUGCAAGCGUUAUCCGGAUUCACUGGGUUUAGAGGGUGCGUAGGUGGGCAGGUAAGUCAGUGGUGAAAUCUCCGGGCUUAACCCGGAAACUGCCAUUGAUACUAUCUGUCUUGAAUACCCUGGAGGUGAGCGGAAUAUGUCAUGUAGCGGUGAAAUGCUUAGAUAUGACAUAGAACACCCAUUGCGAAGGCAGCUCAUUACGGGAAUAUUGACACUGAGGCACGAAAGCGUGGGGAUCAAA